GGUAGGAAACCCAAACGUCGCCGUGUUUGGGUGAUAGAGUUUAGAUCGGGUUAGAUUAAAUAAUCUCGGAUAUAAAUAACAAUAAUCGGGUUAAAUAACUUCACAUGGUGUGUCUGGUGUGUUUCCAGCAUUCGUAGUGUUGAUCAGCAGAGAAAUAGGCUGUGUCCCAAUUCUUAGGACGCAUCCUUCGAAGGCUGCAUUCGAAGGAUGCGUCGACGCCGAUUUCGUCACAGCGACGCGCCAAGUGCUGUCCCAAUUCCAAGGGUCCUUCAAAUGCGGCCUACGAAUGCAGCCUUCUUUUCCCGGAUUUGAAGGAUGCAUCGGCUGUAUCCUUCGCGGCCCAACGUAUCCCAAGAUCCUUCACGGCCCAACUUAUCCCUCCCAAGAUUCAUUGCGCAUUCAAUCCAAAAAAUAAAACAACAAUGUGGAUUGUUGAGAAUGUGGAUUUGACUUUUUCAUUUAAAUGUAAGUAUUUGGUUUCCAGUCACUCGAGUAUUUAACGAUACAAAUGUUAAAAUACUAAUUUUUAUCGUUAAAAACACAAAUAAGUUAUCCUUAAAACUUAUUUCAUUAAAGUAAUAGGCAAUAUAAGUAAGGUAACGUUACAGUUAGUGAAGCUGUAACGGUAACUAAGAACACCCGUUAAGCCCUAUAGUUUCAAAUUUAAGAGGUCAAAAUGGUUAUAUUUACCGAAAUUGGGGGGAUUAUAUAGAUAAUUUGCUAUUCUGUAACGUUAGAUAAAUGGACCAACACGAACACAGGUUGUGGACCCUGGUUUUCAGACCGUAACGUUACAGACGUUGGGAUUGAUUACACAGCUAACUUGGUUAUUUUGCUAUUUAAGCUGCUUUUGUUUGUUAGUGUAAAGUAAAACUAAUUCUAACAUUUGGUUUUGCUUUAGGGAGCAAGGAGCAUGCUGCUCAAUUUAUGAGGGGGGAGAAUGACGAGCUCUUCACCGGGGUGAAACAUUCGGCGAGUGUGGCUUGGGGGAUUGCAAGUAUCCAGGGUCAGGAGAGGGGGUAGGUGGGAAACCCACUGCUGCCACUUGGCCCUGGUUUGUCCUCAUGGAUGAGGUAUUGGGACAGAGGCAUUCCACCAACCCCCCUGUCCUAAUUGCCUCCAUCCUUGAGAACACACCAGGACCAAGUACAGCAGUGGUGGAUCUGGAGGUGGAGGAGAAGGAUGAGGAGGAAAUACAGCGGCCAAGGUCCAGAAAGAGGGACAGAGAGGACGAAAUGUUCCAUUUGAUUAAAGAGGACAUGAGGCUAAAUAGGGAGGCAGAGGAGAGAAGAGCCCAGGAGAGCAGGGAGAGGAUGGAUCGUUUUUUUUCAAUUUUGGAGCGUUUGGCUGACAAAUAAUUUCAGUUCUG
Long non-coding RNA from Gadus macrocephalus (Pacific cod), 1369 nucleotides. RefSeq lists it as uncharacterized. NCBI's taxonomy places the organism in Eukaryota, Metazoa, Chordata, Actinopteri, Gadiformes, Gadidae. The transcript is spliced from 3 exons. The record is from RefSeq and is a predicted model, not a curated record.